RNAcentral lists this ribosomal RNA (497 nucleotides) under uncultured bacterium. RNAcentral's name for it is "partial 16S ribosomal RNA". It matches the Rfam family "Bacterial small subunit ribosomal RNA", at positions 28 to 507 of the family's 1533-position model. The record is from RNAcentral.
GAUGAACGCUGGCGGCGUGCCUAAUACAUGCAAGUCGAGCGAACAGAUGAGGAGCUUGCUCCUCUGACGUUAGCGGCGGACGGGUGAGUAACACGUGGAUAACCUACCUAUAAGACUUGGAUAACUUCGGGAAACCGGAGCUAAUACCGGAUAAUAUAUUUAACCGCAUGGUUCAAUAGUGAAAGACGGUUUUGCUGUCACUUAUAGAUGGAUCCGCGCCGCAUUAGCUAGUUGGUAAGGUAACGGCUUACCAAGGCAACGAUGCGUAGCCGACCUGAGAGGGUGAUCGGCCACACUGGAACUGAGACACGGUCCAGACUCCUACGGGAGGCAGCAGUAGGGAAUCGUCCGCAAUGGGCGAAAGCCUGACGGAGCAACGCCGCGUGAGUGAUGAAGGUCUUCGGAUCGUAAAACUCUGUUAUUAGGGAAGAACAAAUGUGUAAGUAACUAUGCACGUCUUGACGGUACCUAAUCAGAAAGCCACGGCUAACUACGUG